This 465-nucleotide ribosomal RNA is filed under the name uncultured bacterium. RNAcentral describes it as "partial 16S ribosomal RNA". It matches the Rfam family "Bacterial small subunit ribosomal RNA", at positions 29 to 507 of the family's 1533-position model. The record is from RNAcentral.
AAUGAACGUUGGCGGCGUGGAUUAGGCAUGCAAGUCGAGCGAGAACCCCGCAAGGGGGGACAGCGGCGAAAGGGACAGUAAUGUGUAGAUUAUCUGCCCUCAGGUCCGGGAUAGCUGCGGGAAACUGCAGGUAAUACCGGAUAACAUCUCCGGAUCAAAGGUGUGAUUCCGCCUGAGGAUGAGUCUGCAUCCUAUUAGCUAGUUGGUGGGGUAAUGGCCUACCAAGGCAUUGAUGGGUAGCAGGUGUGAGAGAACGACCUGCGUCAUUGGGACUGAGACACUGCCCAGACACCUACGGGGGGCUGCAGUCGAGAAUCUUCGGCAAUGGGAGCAAGCCUGACCGAGCGACGCCGCGUGUGGGAUGAAGGCCUGCGGUUUGUAAACCACUGUCAGAUGUGAUGAAAUGCAGGUAGGUUCUCCCAUCUGUUUGACAUAGCCUCAGAGGAAGGACGGGCUAAGUUCGUG